Molecule: ribosomal RNA, 449 nt
Filed under: uncultured bacterium
Lineage: Bacteria
Description: partial 16S ribosomal RNA
Rfam family: Bacterial small subunit ribosomal RNA
Source: RNAcentral
AACGAACGCUGGCGGCAGGCUUAACACAUGCAAGUCGAACGCAUCCUUCGGGGUGAGUGGCAGACGGGUGAGUAACACGUGGGAACGUGCCCUUCAGUUCGGGAUAACCCAGGGAAACUUGGGCUAAUACCGGAUACGUGCGAGAGCAGAAAGAUUUAUCGCUGAAGGAUCGGCCCGCGUCUGAUUAGCUAGUUGGUGGGGUAAUGGCCCACCAAGGCGACGAUCAGUAGCUGGUCUGAGAGGAUGAUCAGCCACAUUGGGGCUGAGACACGGCCCAAACUCCUACGGGAGGCAGCAGUGGGGAAUAUUGGACAAUGGGCGCAAGCCUGAUCCAGCCAUGCCGCGUGAGUGAUGAAGGCCUUAGGGUUGUAAAGCUCUUUCGUCCGGGACGAUAAUGACGGUACCGGAAGAAGAAGCCCCGGCUAACUUCGUGCCAGCAGCCGCGGUAA